This 377-nucleotide unclassified non-coding RNA is filed under the name uncultured Oligoflexaceae bacterium. RNAcentral describes it as "contains 16S-23S intergenic spacer region". Lineage: Bacteria; Pseudomonadati; Bdellovibrionota; Oligoflexia; Oligoflexales; Oligoflexaceae. The record is from RNAcentral.
UCCGGUUUAACACCGGCGGUCUCUUUAGAGUGCCCAACUUAAUGGUGGCAACUAAAGACAAGGGUUGCGCUCGUUGCGGGACUUAACCCAACAUCUUACGACACGAGCUGACGACAGCCAUGCAGCACCUGUCUCGGAGCCCCCGAAGGGGAAGGUACAUCUCUGCACCGAUCUCCGGAUGUCAAACCCAGGUAAGGUUCUGCGCGUUGCUUCGAAUUAAACCACAUACUCCACCGCUUGUGCGGGCCCCCGUCAAUUCCUUUGAGUUUCAACCUUGCGGCCGUACUCCCCAGGCGGGAUACUUAAUGUGUGAACUGCGAUACUCAGAGGGUUAACUCUCCGAACAUCUAGUAUCCAUAGUUUACGGCGCGGACUAC